This 493-nucleotide ribosomal RNA is filed under the name uncultured bacterium. RNAcentral's name for it is "partial 16S ribosomal RNA". It matches the Rfam family "Bacterial small subunit ribosomal RNA", at positions 29 to 507 of the family's 1533-position model. The record is from RNAcentral.
ACGAACGCUGGCGGCGUGCUUAACACCUGCAAGUCGAACGGUGAAGCGCCUUCCUUUUUGGUGGGUGUGGAUGAGUGGCGAACGGGUGAGUAACACGUGAGUAACCUGCCCCCUUCUUCUGGAUAACCGCAUGAAAGUGUGGCUAAUACGGGAUAUUCUGGGUCUGUCGCAUGAUGGGUCUGGGAAAGAUAUUGUUUCGGUGGGGGAUGGGCUCGCGGCCUAUCAGCUUGUUGGUGGGGUGAUGGCCUACCAAGGCGGUGACGGGUAGCCGGCCUGAGAGGGUGGACGGUCACACUGGGACUGAGACACGGCCCAGACUCCUACGGGAGGCAGCAGGGGGGAAUAUUGCACAAUGGGCGCAAGCCUGAUGCAGCGACGCCGCGUGAGGGAUGGAGGCCUUCGGGUUGUGAACCUCUUUCGCCAGUGAAGCAGGCCUGCCUCGUUUGUGGGUGGGUUGACGGUAGCUGGAGAAGAAGCGCCGGCUAACUACGUG